UACGAAGGGGGCUAGCGUUGUUCGGAAUCACUGGGCGUAAAGGGCGCGUAGGCGGCUUUGUAAGUCGGGGGUGAAAGCCUGUGGCUCAACCACAGAAUUGCCUUCGAUACUGCAUGGCUUGAGACCGGAAGAGGUAAGUGGAACUGCGAGUGUAGAGGUGAAAUUCGUAGAUAUUCGGAAGAACACCAGUGGCGAAGGCGACACACUGGCCCGUUACUGACGCUGAGGCGCGAAAGCGUGGGGAGCAAGCAGG
This 253-nucleotide ribosomal RNA is filed under the name uncultured bacterium. RNAcentral's name for it is "partial 16S ribosomal RNA". It matches the Rfam family "Bacterial small subunit ribosomal RNA", at positions 524 to 776 of the family's 1533-position model. The record is from RNAcentral.